AGUGAACGCUGGCGGUAGGCCUAACACAUGCAAGUCGAACGGCAGCACAGUAAGAGCUUGCUCUUACGGGUGGCGAGUGGCGGACGGGUGAGGAAUACAUCGGAAUCUACUUUUUCGUGGGGGAUAACGUAGGGAAACUUACGCUAAUACCGCAUACGACCUACGGGUGAAAGCAGGGGAUCUUCGGACCUUGCGCGAUUGAAUGAGCCGAUGUCGGAUUAGCUAGUUGGCGGGGUAAAGGCCCACCAAGGUGACGAUCCGUAGCUGGUCUGAGAGGAUGAUCAGCCACACUGGAACUGAGACACGGUCCAGACUCCUACGGGAGGCAGCAGUGGGGAACAUUGGACAAUGGGCGCAAGCCUGAUCCAGCCAUACCGCGUGGGUGAAGAAGGCCUUCGGGUUGUAAAGCCCUUUUGUUGGGAAAGAAAAGCAGCAGGUUAAUACCCCGCUGUUCUGACGGUACCCAAAGAAUAAGCACCGGCUAACUUCGUG
RNAcentral lists this ribosomal RNA (492 nucleotides) under uncultured bacterium. RNAcentral's name for it is "partial 16S ribosomal RNA". It matches the Rfam family "Bacterial small subunit ribosomal RNA", at positions 29 to 507 of the family's 1533-position model. The record is from RNAcentral.